RNAcentral lists this unclassified non-coding RNA (206 nucleotides) under Glomeromycotina sp. RNAcentral's name for it is "partial contains small subunit ribosomal RNA, internal transcribed spacer 1, and 5.8S ribosomal RNA". The stretch from base 1 to 47 matches the Rfam family "Eukaryotic small subunit ribosomal RNA", at positions 1785 to 1831 of the family's 1831-position model. Lineage: Eukaryota; Fungi; Glomeromycota. The record is from RNAcentral.
AAAGUCGUAACAAGGUUUCCGUAGGUGAACCUGCGGAAGGAUCAUUCUUGAUGAUGUAGCUUAUGCUAUCAUUUAAUAUGUGCACCGUUACUGCCAUUUGGCGGCCGAAAGGUCGCCACUGGGCUAUUUAAAAUAUACAAUUUAACUACCUGUACCUGUAAUCAUAAAUUUUAUGACAACUUUUAGCAAUGGAUCUCUAGGCUCUC